RNAcentral lists this ribosomal RNA (253 nucleotides) under uncultured bacterium. RNAcentral's name for it is "partial 16S ribosomal RNA". It matches the Rfam family "Bacterial small subunit ribosomal RNA", at positions 524 to 776 of the family's 1533-position model. The record is from RNAcentral.
UACGUAGGGUGCAAGCGUUGUUCGGAAUUAUUGGGCGUAAAGCGCGUGUAGGCGGCUCGUUAUGUCGGGUGUGAAAGCCCUCAGCUUAACUGAGGAAGUGCGCCCGAAACUGGCGAGCUUGAGUGUCGGAGAGGAUAGCGGAACACCCGGUGUAGAGGUGAAAUUCGUAGAUAUCGGGUAGAACACCAGUGGCGAAGGCGGCUAUCUGGACGACAACUGACGCUGAGACGCGAAAGCGUGGGGAGCAAACAGG